Molecule: small RNA, 31 nt
Filed under: Bombyx mori (domestic silkworm)
Lineage: Eukaryota; Metazoa; Arthropoda; Insecta; Lepidoptera; Bombycidae
Description: piRNA piR-bmo-1467867
Source: RNAcentral
GUUGGCCUCAGAUCAGGGAGGAUCACCCGCC